This 24-nucleotide non-coding RNA is filed under the name Mus musculus (house mouse). The record is from RNAcentral. Lineage: Eukaryota; Metazoa; Chordata; Mammalia; Rodentia; Muridae.
UGCUGAAUGCCGUCGCAAGAGUGG